This is a long non-coding RNA of Amphiprion ocellaris (clown anemonefish), 1810 nucleotides long. Lineage: Eukaryota; Metazoa; Chordata; Actinopteri; Pomacentridae. The record is from Ensembl.
CUUCGCCCGAGUCAGCUGGGAUAGGCUCCAGCCCCCCCCGCAACCCUAGUGAGGAUUAAGCGGUGUAUAGAUAAUGGAUGGAUGGAGUUGUAGUAUGACCAGCAGGAGUCAGUUGCUGACUGCAGUAAAUUUGUUGAAUAUUUGUGUCUCUUGGCUGUUUGCAGCGGUUUUGCAUUUUGCAGAUGGUCCCUGUUCACUCUUCGCACAGCCGACUGCUCAUAGACAUCAAUGUUAUUUCUGCAGCUCGAAAGACAGAUACUUUUGAUUAAACUGGGCUUGUAGCACCUUACAACGAUGGAAAAGAGGCAUCGUUUAGUUUAGACAACGUAUAUUUAAUGAGCUAUUGAUGCCGGAAGUCCGAAUUUGUGAAUAUCUUUCCGACUUUACCGAACUGUGUUUUGUUUCCUGACGUCGCCGUAAUUUGCUGGCUUCAUGCUGUCAUUUGCAAGCAUUUCACCACAAAUAACGUAAUUCUGUUUUGUCCUUUAAUAAAACCAAAUUUAAGGUAACUCUGGAGGUAUAGCCGGAGUUUUUAGGUACUGAUGAAGCUUCACCCGCUUUGCGUUUUUUGGACACCGUUCCCGUCAGUAAUUUUCUAAAUGCACACAAACUAAUGAAUCGGGGUGAACUAGUGAGCCAACCUGAAGAAAGCAUGGAGAGAAGUUGAAGAAAGACCAAAUAAAUGUGUUUUAAAAAUGUUCUAUAGGUAGACUUGUGAUGACACAGUGAGUCUAUUACUCUGAUUUUAUCCAGAAUGUAAAAAUCUAUUUUUUAUAACAUCACAGCCUCAGAGCAGACAAAGCUUUGCGUCUCCCCUCAGAUCUCUGGUGCCCCCCCCAGGUUGGGAACCACCGCACUAGACAUCUAUUAGACGCCCACUGGAUGUCCACCAGUGUGUUGCUAAAAUUCUGCUGAGGCUUGUGUUUUAGCCUGUCAGGCCAUCAUGGGCCACCAACACACACACGCACGCACGCACACACACACACACACACACACACACACACACACACACACACACACACACACACACACACACACACACACACACACACACACACACACACACACACACACACACACACACACACACACACACACACGUGCCACAAAUGAACUCACAGGCCCAGGUUUCACUCUCAGAUCUCUCCUCUGUUUCUGUUUGUUCUAUUUGAUGCAUUUUAUACACUCUUUUUAUGGGUUGUAACUUUACAAGUUCACACAGGAUUAUUCAUUCUUGUACAUGAGUCUGACUUAAUCAUCAUUUUGGAGUUGUUGCUAUUUCUUCAGUUUUAAAAUCCCACAACUGUAUAGAUAAUGGAUGGAUGGACAUUAAAGUCACCUUGAUCUAAUAUCUGUUUGGUGUCAAUAGCACAUGUUCUGUCACAUAUCCCUGUUCCAACUGCAAUGAGGAGGGGAAGACAGUACAAACUGGACAUUAAGACCAACAGAGACACUAAAAUGACUUUGGAUUUUUUCCUGCAAAAAAAAAUUAAAUGGGAAUGCUUUGAGGAAUAAUGACUCUUUCACUUUCUUUUCUUUAGUUACUAUUGGUAAAGCAUUAAUAUCCUGUUUCACUUCUCCUGUUAUAAUAGCAAUUACAUUCUCACAGUUAAGUUUUAAUGAAAUAAUAGCAAUAAUUAUUUAGAUCAUAUAUGUGCUCCAUCAUAGAGCUAUUAUCUCCAUCCAUCCAUUAUCUAUACACCGCUUAAUCCUCACUAGGGUCGCGGGGGGGGGGGGGGGGGGGGGGGGGCUGGAGCCUAUCCCAGCUGACUCGGGCGAAGGCAGGUCGCCAGUCUGUCGCAGGGCUACA